Molecule: long non-coding RNA, 537 nt
Organism: Cryptomeria japonica (Japanese cedar)
Lineage: Eukaryota; Viridiplantae; Streptophyta; Pinopsida; Cupressales; Cupressaceae
Exons: 3
Source: RefSeq, a predicted model, not a curated record
UAUUUGAUAAUGAGGAUGAAUUUGGCUUUGAGGCGGACAACGGAUGACAUGUGAGAAUAGGGUUUAACCCUAGCGUAGGGGUCGCUGAUUCUAUGAAGGAGGGAUUGUGGCCUCCUCCACGCAGUUCAUCCGAGCAGACUGUUAAUUUGAUGUAAUCGAUUGGUGGCCUCCGACCAAUAUGGAUGGAAAUCCGAUUAAUGGAGCAACUAAUUCAAUUAGUGAAGGUAGUGUACAGGUGCCCUUGCAAACAAAACCAAAUCUUUCAGGUUGAUUCUAGUGUGGUUGCUCGAAAUGAGCUAAUGGUGGUUUCUAAUAAGUGGAUUCUAAUUUGUGACUCUUGGCCUUCCACAGGUUGAUUCUAGUGUGGUUGCUUGAAAGGAGCUAGUAUUAGUUUCAUGGUUUUGGUUGCUCGAUAUGAGCAAAUAUUAGUGUCAUGUAAUGGUCUCAAGUUGAUGCUCGUAUGAGCAAAAUAUUUGUAAACGAUUUGGAAUUUUAAAAAAAAAAUUAAUAUGAAAUUUUAGAAUAGUUUAUAUUUUC